This 407-nucleotide ribosomal RNA is filed under the name uncultured bacterium. Its description in RNAcentral is "partial 16S ribosomal RNA". It matches the Rfam family "Bacterial small subunit ribosomal RNA", at positions 30 to 526 of the family's 1533-position model. The record is from RNAcentral.
AUUGAACGCUGGCGGCAGGCCUAACACAUGCACGUCGAGCGGAGCGGCGGACGGGUGAGUAAUGCCUAGGAAUCUGCCUGGUAGUGGGGGAUAACGUCCGGAAACGGGCGCUAAUACCGCAUCCUAUCAGCUGAGCCUAGGUCGGAUUCGCUAGUUGGUGGGGUAAAGGCCUACCAAGGGGACGAUCCGUAACUGGUCUGAGAGGAUGAUCAGUCACACUGGAACGGAGACACGGUCCAUACUCCUACGGGAGGCAGCAGUGGGGGAUAUUGCAAAAUGUGCGAAAGCCGGAUGCAGCGACGCCGCGUGGGGGAUGAAGGCUUUCGGGUUGUAAACCUCUUUCGCUAGCGAACGGGUAGGUGGAGAAGAAGCGCCGGCUAACUACGUGCCAGCAGCCGCGGUAAUUC